GUGGGGAAUCUUGCGCAAUGGGCGAAAGCCUGACGCAGCCAUGCCGCGUGAAUGAUGAAGGUCUUAGGAUUGUAAAAUUCUUUCACCGGGGACGAUAAUGACGGUACCCGGAGAAGAAGCCCCGGCUAACUUCGUGCCAGCAGCCGCGGUAAUACGAAGGGGGCUAGCGUUGCUCGGAAUUACUGGGCGUAAAGGGCGCGUAGGCGGACAGUUUAGUCAGAGGUGAAAGCCCAGGGCUCAACCUUGGAAUUGCCUUUGAUACUGGCUGUCUUGAGUACAGGAGAGGUGAGUGGAACGCCGCGUGUAGAGGUGAAAUUCGUAGAUAUUCGGAAGAACACCAGUGGCGAAGGCGACUCACUGGCCCGUUACUGACGCUGAGGCUCGAAAGCGUGGGGAGCAAACAGGAUUAGAAACCCGGGUAGUCC
Molecule: ribosomal RNA, 425 nt
Filed under: uncultured bacterium
Lineage: Bacteria
Description: partial 16S ribosomal RNA
Rfam family: Bacterial small subunit ribosomal RNA
Source: RNAcentral